RNAcentral lists this ribosomal RNA (1893 nucleotides) under Triticum aestivum (bread wheat). Its description in RNAcentral is "partial small subunit ribosomal RNA". The record is from RNAcentral. Lineage: Eukaryota; Viridiplantae; Streptophyta; Magnoliopsida; Poales; Poaceae.
AUGGGGCAGUGCUACGCCAAGAACAUACACGCGGACGGCGGGGAUGGGGGCGAGGGUGGCGGAGGGACGACCACCAUCUCGGUCUCGGCGUCUGCCGCGGCUGCCGUCCAGGAGGAGCCCGCCGGCGAGAGGGCCACGGGAGGGAGGCGGAGCGGCAGGCCGUCGCCGGCGGGGACGCCGCGCAGCAGGGCGGGGGUGACGCCGGCCAGGACUUCGGCGGCGGCCGCGGGGAGCCCCUGGGCCGCCAGCCCGCUCCCCGAGGGCAUCGCGCCGUCCCCGGCGACGUCCGCGUCCACGCCCAGGCGCUUCUUCCGCCGCCCGUUCCCUCCGCCGUCCCCGGCCAAGCACAUCAAGGCGUCGCUGGUGCGCCGCCUCGGCCACCGCUCCCCGGCUGCUACCUCUGCGCAGGCGCCGCCCGCUAAGCCGCCGCAGGAGGCCCCGAUCCCCGAACAAGGGGCCGGCGGCGGCGGAGGAGAGGAGGAGCUCGACAAGAGCUUCGGCUACGACCGCCACUUCGCGGUCAAGUACGAACUGGGAAAGGAGGUGGGUCGCGGCCACUUCGGCCACACCUGUCUCGCGCGUGCCCGCAAGGGGGACAUGAGAGGUCAAGUCAUAGCUGUCAAGGUCAUCUCCAAAGCCAAGAUGACAACAGCAAUAUCUAUUGAGGAUGUGCGUAGAGAGGUGAAAAUUCUGAAAGCUUUAUCUGGGCAUUCAAAUCUUGUGAAAUUUUAUGAUGCAUGUGAGGAUGCCCUUAACGUCUACAUCAUCAUGGAGUUGUGUGAAGGUGGGGAGUUGUUGGACAGAAUCUUGUCCAGAGGUGGGAGGUACACUGAGGAUGAUGCUAAAGUUAUCAUCAAACAGAUAUUAAGUGUAGUUGCUUUCUGCCAUCUUCAGGGUGUUGUUCAUCGUGAUCUUAAGCCAGAGAAUUUCCUAUUCAGUACUAGAGAUGAACAUUCUCCUAUGAAGCUCAUCGAUUUUGGCCUCUCUGAUUUUAUAAGGCCAGAUGAAAGGCUGAAUGACAUUGUUGGUAGUGCAUACUAUGUUGCUCCAGAAGUCCUACAUAGGUCAUAUAGCACAGAAGCAGACAUGUGGAGCGUAGGUGUUAUCACUUAUAUCUUGCUGUGUGGUAGCAGACCAUUCUGGGCACGCACUGAAUCAGGAAUUUUCCGCUCUGUGCUGAGAGCUGAUCCUAAUUUUGACGAUUCACCAUGGGCAUCAAUAUCUCCUGAAGCUAAAGACUUUGUCAAAAGACUUCUUAACAAGGAUUACAGAAAAAGAAUGACUGCUGCACAGGCACUCUCUCACCCCUGGUUGCGAGAUGAGUGCUGCCCAGUCCCUCUGGAUAUGCUAGUUUUUAAGCUGGUUAAGGCGCAUCUUCGUUCCACACCUUUCAAACGGGCAGCAUUAAAGGCUCUGUCUAGAGCAAUAACAGAAGAUGAGCUUAUCUAUGCCAGAGCACAGUACAACUUAUUACAACCAAGUAGUCAAGAUGGUCGAAUAUGUAUUGAGAACUUCAGGAUGGCUCUUCUACAAAACUCCACUGACGCUAUGAAAGAAUCUAGAACUCUUGAUAUCUUAAGUGCGUUGGAGCCGCUUGCAUAUAGGAGAAUGGACUUUGAGGAGUUCCGUGCGGCGACUAUCAGCCCUUACCAACUUGAAGCUUCGUCUAUGUGGGACGAAAUAGCGAGCACCGCAUUUGAGUGCUUUGAGCAGGAAGGCAACCGUGUUAUCACAAUUGAGGAGCUAGCUCAGGAGAUGAAUCUUUCUUCUGCGGCGUAUUCUAUCGUCCGCGACUGGAUUAGGCCAUCAGAUGGGAAGCUUAGCUUUAUAGGCUACACCAAAUUUUUGCAUGGAUUGACUAUGCGAAGCAGCAACGCGAGGCGCCAUCACUGA